RNAcentral lists this ribosomal RNA (484 nucleotides) under uncultured bacterium. RNAcentral describes it as "partial 16S ribosomal RNA". It matches the Rfam family "Bacterial small subunit ribosomal RNA", at positions 30 to 507 of the family's 1533-position model. The record is from RNAcentral.
AUUGAAUGCUGGCGGCAGGCCUAACACAUGCAAGUCGAGCGGAUGAAGGGAGCUUGCUCCUGGAUUCAGCGGCGGACGGGUGAGUAAUGCCUAGGAAUCUGCCUGGUAGUGGGGGAUAACGUCCGGAAACGGGCGCUAAUACCGCAUACGUCCUGAGGGAGAAAGUGGGGGAUCUUCGGACCUCACGCUAUCAGAUGAGCCUAGGUCGGAUUAGCUAGUUGGUGGGGUAAAGGCCUACCAAGGCGACGAUCCGUAACUGGUCUGAGGGGAUGAUCAGUCACACUGGAACUGAGACACGGUCCAGACUCCUACGGGAGGCAGCAGUGGGGAAUAUUGGACAAUGGGCGAAAGCCUGAUCCAGCCAUGCCGCGUGUGUGAAGAAGGUCUUCGGAUUGUAAAGCACUUUAAGUUGGGAGGAAGGGCAGUAAGUUAAUACCUUGCUGUUUUGACGUUACCAACAGAAUAAGCACCGGCUAACUUCGUG